GUAAUUGCUUUGCUUCCUUUACCUGCCUUUACCAAGAGAUGCCUGGCCAGAAGAGCGAGGAAUUACAGUUCCUGUGGAGGCUGCCCACCGAGUGAAGCUGCAGGCUGCCCAUCCCAUCGCAGUAGCUCCUUAGUUGUCACUUGCACUCACUCUAUCCUGCCACCCUUGUGAAGAAGGUGCCGGCUUCUCCUUUACCUUCCGCCAUGAUUGUAAGUUUCCUGUGGCUUCCCCAGCAGUACAGAACU
RNAcentral lists this long non-coding RNA (245 nucleotides) under Pongo abelii (Sumatran orangutan). RNAcentral's name for it is "lincRNA". Lineage: Eukaryota; Metazoa; Chordata; Mammalia; Primates; Hominidae. The record is from RNAcentral.